CAACAGGGAUUGCCUCAGUAACGGCGAGUGAAGCGGCAACAGCUCAAAUUUGAAAUCUGGCCUCCUUGGGGGUCCGAGUUGUAAUUUGUAGAGGAUGCUUCGGCGUGGGCCCCGGUCUAAGUUCCUUGGAACAGGACGUCACAGAGGGUGAGAAUCCCGUACGUGGCCGUGGGUGCUCGCCAUGUGAAGCUCCUUCGACGAGUCGAGUUGUUUGGGAAUGCAGCUCUAAAUGGGAGGUAUAUUUCUUCUAAAGCUAAAUAUUGGCCAGAGACCGAUAGCGCACAAGUAGAGUGAUCGAAAGAUGAAAAGCACUUUGGAAAGAGAGUCAAAAAGUACGUGAAAUUGUUGAAAGGGAAGCGCUUGCAACCAGACCUGUCUGCAGUUGCUCAUCCGGGCUUCUGCCCGGUGCACUCUUCUGCAGUCAGGCCAGCAUCAGUUCUGGCGGUCGGAUAAAGGCGGUGGGAAUGUGGCUCCUCUCGGGGAGUGUUAUAGCCCAUCGUGCAAUGCGGCCAGCUGGGACUGAGGUCCGCGCUUCGGCUAGGAUGCUGGCGUAAUGGUUGUAAGCGGCCCGUCUUGAAACACGGACCAAGGAGUCUAACAUCUGUGCGAGUGUUUGGGUGUCAAGCCCAGGCGCGUAAUGAAAGUGAACGGAGGCGGGAACCUUCGGGUGCACCGUCGACCGAUCCUGAUGUCUUCGGAUGGAUUUGAGUAAGAGCAUAGCUGUUGGGACCCGAAAGAUGGUGAACUAUGCCUGAAUAGGGUGAAGCCAGAGGAAACUCUGGUGGAGGCUCGCAGCGGUUCUGACGUGCAAAUCGAUCGUCAAAUUUGGGCAUAGGGGCGAAAGACUAAUCGAA
This 854-nucleotide ribosomal RNA is filed under the name Rhytidhysteron sichuanense. RNAcentral describes it as "Rhytidhysteron sp. XX-2020b partial large subunit ribosomal RNA". It matches the Rfam family "Eukaryotic large subunit ribosomal RNA", at positions 66 to 939 of the family's 3401-position model. Lineage: Eukaryota; Fungi; Ascomycota; Dothideomycetes; Hysteriales; Hysteriaceae. The record is from RNAcentral.